Molecule: ribosomal RNA, 488 nt
Filed under: uncultured bacterium
Lineage: Bacteria
Description: bacterial SSU rRNA
Rfam family: Bacterial small subunit ribosomal RNA
Source: RNAcentral
AUGAACGCUAGCGGCAGGCUUAACACAUGCAAGUCGAGGGGCAGCAUAAUGGAUAGCAAUAUCUAUGGUGGCGACCGGCGCACGGGUGCGUAACGCGUAUGCAACCUACCUUUAACAGGGGGAUAACACUGAGAAAUUGGUACUAAUACCCCAUAAUAUCAUAGAAGGCAUCUUUUAUGGUUGAAAAUUCCGAUGGUUAGAGAUGGGCAUGCGUUGUAUUAGCUAGUUGGUGGGGUAACGGCUCACCAAGGCGACGAUACAUAGGGGGACUGAGAGGUUAACCCCCCCACACUGGUACUGAGACACGGACCAGACUCCUACGGGAGGCAGCAGUGAGGAAUAUUGGUCAAUGGACGCAAGUCUGAACCAGCCAUGCCGCGUGCAGGAUGACGGCUCUAUGAGUUGUAAACUGCUUUUGUACUAGGGUAAACUCACCUACGUGUAGGUGACUGAAAGUAUAGUACGAAUAAGGAUCGGCUAACUCCGUG